GUGAACCUGCGGAAGGAUCAUUAAUGAAUUUUAGGACGUUCUUUUUAGAAGU
Molecule: ribosomal RNA, 52 nt
Filed under: fungal sp. CTH-2008
Lineage: Eukaryota; Fungi
Description: partial 18S ribosomal RNA
Source: RNAcentral